Long non-coding RNA from Cyanistes caeruleus (blue tit), 819 nucleotides. RefSeq lists it as uncharacterized. NCBI's taxonomy places the organism in Eukaryota, Metazoa, Chordata, Aves, Passeriformes, Paridae. The record is from RefSeq and is a predicted model, not a curated record.
CCUCUCCCUGGUGCUCCGCUGCGCUGCGUGGGUGUGUUUCACCAGCCUGCGGGCAGAACCCUCCAGACCUGUCCCCAGAACCGCAUCGGUUGUUUUGAUGCUUCUGCCCCGAGACAGGAUCGACACACCACCACCAAACUGAUGGAAGGGAAAUGGCCCCUGGGUGAGUUAGACCUCAUCCAUGCUCGUCAGGCUAAUUAACUCAUCAGCAAGGACCGAAUCCAGCCUCCUGGUAAGUGAUAUCUAAAUCACUGCUGCAAGGAGAGGAUGAAAUAUGGGCGCAUGAGAGGGGAGACAAGGGAUGUGACUGAGGAGGAAAAAGUCACAGAGCAAGAAGAAAUAUGGACAAGGUGUGUGAAAUGGGCCACGUUCCUCAGAGCUGCUGUCACUGCCGUGGUUCAGGUGUGGUUCAGGACGUGUGUGCGUGGACACGGAUCUCUGCCUCUGGCCAUGGAACAGCGAGAGGCUCCGAUGGGAGCGCAUGGCUCUGCUCUGUGCACGCACACGGCGACUUGGGUGCUCUUUACACACGCAGGGGCACUCUGAAACCAGCUGGAAAUCCACAUUUGUUCAUGCUCAGCAGCUGGCUUUUGCCAGCAGUGAUAUUCCUGCAGCCUGUACUCGGCUGGAGCAGUCUCAACAGCACUUCACUGUGCUCAUGGUGACUGCUCAGCCUGGGGCAUUUGGAUCUUUGAAAGGGGAGAAAAAGGGAGCAGCAUGGAUAGGUUUCCCAUUAAGAUCAUCUAGUUCAACCCCUGGUUUUGGGACUAGACUGUCACCAGCACAUCAGAUUCAGUCCUGGUUGAAUGUUAAAUAAAA